RNAcentral lists this ribosomal RNA (433 nucleotides) under uncultured bacterium. RNAcentral describes it as "partial 16S ribosomal RNA". It matches the Rfam family "Bacterial small subunit ribosomal RNA", at positions 29 to 507 of the family's 1533-position model. The record is from RNAcentral.
AACGAACGCUGGCGGCAUGCCUAACACAUGCAAGUCGAACGAGACCUUCGGGUCUAGUGGCGCACGGGUGCGUAACGCGUGGGAACCUGCCCUUAGGUUCGGAAUAACUCCCCGAAAGGGGUGCUAAUACCGGAUAAUGUCUUCGGACCAAAGAUUUAUCGCCUUUGGAUGAGCCCGCGUUGGAUUAGCUAGUUGGUAAGGUAAAAGCCUACCAAGGCGACGAUCCAUAGCUGGUCUGAGAGGAUGAUCAGCCACACUGGGACCGAGACACGGCCCAGACUCCUACGGGAGGCAGCAGUGGGGAAUAUUGGACAAUGGGCGAAAGACUGAUCCAGCAAUGCCGCGUGAGUGAUGAAGGCCUUAGGGUUGUAAAGCUCUUUUACCCGGGAUGAUAAUGACAGUACCGGGAGAAUAAGCUCCGGCUAACUCCGUG